Molecule: non-coding RNA, 739 nt
Organism: Rattus norvegicus (Norway rat)
Lineage: Eukaryota; Metazoa; Chordata; Mammalia; Rodentia; Muridae
Source: RefSeq, a predicted model, not a curated record
AGUCUUUCAGAGAACUCAUUCAGAAACUUUGACAACUUGCAAGAAGCUUUCUGUGCAUGACUGAAGACCCUCACAGCAAACCAAGGACUGGCACAUGUCCCAAAGUCUGGGGAUGAGGAAAUUCUGAUGGGCUGUCAAAGCUUCUUUCUGUUGUGAUUUCCAGAUGGUGGUAGAAGUAAAGAAGCUGAGAAGAGCCAAGAGUGAGCAUUGAAAAGGGAUAUUCAGAGAGCUGCAGACUGGAUGAAACUGGGAAAGACACUGUUCUCACGAAAAGCAAAGCCUUGCUUUGCAUUUAUAAGGAUUUUGGAGAAGAAUUAAAACUUAAAUAGUUAACUGAUGGCAUACUAAUGAUGGAUUGUGGGUAAGUGACAGCAAAUGUUAUGUACAUCUUGCUGGCUGAAUAUGUAUUUGGAAAAGCUGUACUGAAACCUUUAAUACAAAUACUGUAUAUAAAGUAGAAUCAGAUGGGAAUAGAGCAUCAUUUUUUAAAAUUAUAUCAUGCUGUUCUCUAUUCUUCACAUCUCACCUUAGUCUUUGAAAAGAUUUUCAACAGGGACACAACAUGAGAACUGCUGCAGAGUGACUCACGGCUAGAGUUUAACAAAACCUCUAAAAUAGAAAAGUGUAUCAGUCAAUGAAGAAUAGUUUUAAGUCACUGUCUGUGCACACUAAACGUGUUAACUGUAGUCUCAAUGAACAAGAAUAUGUUCAAUACUACAAGACCAAUAGCAGACAUAGA